GGUAAAUCAGGGAGGGAUCUGGACCCUGGUCAGAUGGGGGAUUUGACCCAUUCACCAUCAUGCCUGGCCUGUGAGGAAGACGAGAUCCCUGGGAGCCAGGCC
This is a long non-coding RNA of Dipodomys spectabilis (banner-tailed kangaroo rat), 102 nucleotides long. RefSeq lists it as uncharacterized. The transcript has 3 exons. The record is from RefSeq and is a predicted model, not a curated record. NCBI's taxonomy places the organism in Eukaryota, Metazoa, Chordata, Mammalia, Rodentia, Heteromyidae.